GGGCACCUUCCAAGAGCUCCCUGGUGAGUCUAACACACACCAGGGACAGAACCAUCAGACUAUGGCCCCACAGUCCUUUGCAAUUCUCCCAUCCUCUUGGCUAAUUAAAUUCCGAGAUGCCACUGCGGGUUUCUCUGGUGUUAGACUCUUGUUCAUUUUUACUCCUCGCUGGGGAUAAAAUGUGUUCUCAGAGUUGGCGGGAGAAGUUUCUCAUCUUUGGAGUAUUUCUGGCCGUGAGUCGGCUUUGUGACUGUGCCCUUAGAGGGCCUUUUAAGCUGAGGAUAAUCCCUAUGGAAAUGGAUUUCAGGACACGUGGUGGUACUUGGCUCCACAGGGCAGCUCUGGUGCUGGGCUCUGGAUGGCUGGUCACUGCACAAUAUCUGGAAAUCCAGAUAAAGCCCAGACACUGCAGCUGAUGUUGUGAUAGAGACACCAAGAGAGCCUCCUGGGGGUAGCUGCCUGCACCCUAAACUCUUCAGACCUGGAUUUAGUGAGCGGUUAUAUCAAUGGUAUAAGCAAACAGGACUAGGUCUCCAUUCAGCCUGCGUACCAGCGGCCAACUUUAUUCCUUCUUAGUUUUGAAAUAAACUCUUUGAAAUUCUCUGGUGCCUUAAGGAAAAAUGAGAAAGGAAACCCCUGGGGUUUGCUGAUAUAUUUAGUCCUCUUCCCUGUGUCAGGAGAAUUUCUAGAGGAAGAGAAUCCAUACGCAGGACCUAAAACUGCUUUCAAUAAGCCCGCAGAGCUGGGGUGGAGAAUUGCAUUUCCUUUUAUCCCAUUUGAUCUUUCCCAUGACCGCUCCAUGCCUGGUGUCCGUGCAGUGAAGAGUCAUGAACUGACACCGUGGCCAUGGCUGUGAUAAGGCACAGACCGAUAGCACCUCUAUCUGAUGGUAGAAAAAGGGAAGGAAAGACAAAUGACUGAGAUUGUUAAAGUAGCUGAAGACUUUAUUUCAACUCUGUGUCAAUGUGUUUGAACGUGCUACGAUGCAGUGUUUGUAAGCAGGACACUGAAGUGAUGGGGAGAAUGCUGUCUGUCCAGUGAUGUGACAGCUAUUAACCUAGACUUCUCAUGGGGACAAGGGCAAAGUCUGCCCCUAACAGAGGAGGGGUGAGCUCUGGAGAGGUACUCUGGGUUUGAACUCUGGAUGUGCCAAGCAGCCAUGCAGGCUUGGGCGUGGUGCUUGUGUCCCCAGCUUUUCUCAGGAACAGGGCCGGGGGGUGUGGGAUCCUGGGGGGAGCGCAUGGUUUUUAUGCACUCAGAGCAUGUUAGAGGACACCAGGAGCCCUGCCUCUUCCCCGUGACAGCAGGCUCUGCAGAUGCCUCUCAGAGGGAUGCUGGAGCAUCUACCACCACCCUGAGCUGGGGACUGCGUCCAUCUCUUCCACAGCGCAGGUUUUCACCGCCUGCUUUUUGAUGGUCAGGCAGGGAAGAGCCAGUGGAUCACUGGCAGAGAUUAUGAGUAAGAUUUGUGGGUUCAUUUUGGCAGAUCCUCCAGGGCCUCCUUACUCUUUCCUAGUUGAAUCCUGGGCAGAGAUCCCAGGAAAUCUGUGAAGCACAACAUCGGUUUGGAAAGUGUGUGUUUUUACACUGGAUCCAAAAUGCACAGAAAGUCCACCCCUUGUGGCUGCGUGGACAGGCAAGGACUCCUAGACGACGGCGGGAUAAGCCCCCCACGGUGGGAUGUGCUGCUCACCGGGUGGUCCAGCACCAGGAGCAGACCCCCUUCCUUUUGGAUGCUCUUCAGCAGGACCCUCCUCUGGUGCUGGGCCAGUGGGUGUCCCGUCAUGUCUGCCAGCAGGGAUGUGACAGAGCCAGCCACCAGGAGCUGCUUCUCAGAUUCCUG
This 1843-nucleotide long non-coding RNA is filed under the name Marmota monax (woodchuck). Lineage: Eukaryota; Metazoa; Chordata; Mammalia; Rodentia; Sciuridae. The record is from RNAcentral.